RNAcentral lists this ribosomal RNA (817 nucleotides) under uncultured Planctomycetota bacterium. RNAcentral describes it as "bacterial SSU rRNA". It matches the Rfam family "Bacterial small subunit ribosomal RNA", at positions 8 to 805 of the family's 1533-position model. The record is from RNAcentral. Lineage: Bacteria; Pseudomonadati; Planctomycetota.
ANAGUUUGAUUAUGGCUCAGAACGAACGUUGGUGGCGUGGUUUAGGCAUGCAAGUCGAACGAGAAAGUUUCCUUCGGGGAACAAGUAGAGUGGCAAAAGGGAGAGUAAUGACUAGCUAACCUACCUCUUGAUCUGGAAUAACCUUCCGAAAGGAUUGCUAAUACCGGAUGGUCUCACACCGAAUAAUCUAUGUGAGUAAAGGUGGCAUCACUUGUGGUGCUAUUGUCAAGAGAUGGGGCUAGUUCCUAUUAGCUAGAUGGUGGGGUAAUGGCCUACCAUGGCGAUGAUGUCUCGGGGGUGUGAGAGCAUGGCCCCCACGACCGGAACUGAGACACUGUCCGGACACCUACGGGUGGCUGCAGUCGAGAAUCUUCCGCAAUGGGCGAAAGCCUGACGGAGCGACGCCGCGUGCGGGAUGAAGGCCCUUGGGUUGUAAACUGCUGUCAGAGGGGAUGAACUCAUGGUAGGUUACCCUUCCAUGUUGACAAAGCCUCAGAGGAAGCACGGGCUAAGUACGUGCCAGCAGCCGCGGUAACACGUACUGUGCGAACGUUAUUCGGAAUCACUGGGCUUAAAGGGUACGUAGGCGGUUUGCCAAGUCAGAUGUGAAAUGCCACAGCUCAACUGUGGCACUGCGUUUGAAACUGGCAGGCUAGAGUAUUCCAGGGGUGUGCGGAACUUAUGGUGGAGCGGUGAAAUGCGUUGAUAUCAUGAGGAACACCGGAGGCGAAGGCGGCACACUGGGGGAUUACUAACGCUGAGGUACGAAAGCCAGGGUAGCGAACGGGAUUAGAUACCCCGGUAGUCCUGGCUGUAA